AAGUCGUAACAAGGUUUCCGUAGGUGAACCUGCGGAAGGAUCAUUAAAGGUUUCGGGUACCCAGUGCCCAAACUUCAACCCUAUGUUUUAACUAAAUCAGUUUCUUUGCCGGUUUCGGCCGGCAGAAGUUUUCUCAAACUCCACUAUAAAUGUGUCUUCUGAAUCAAAACUAAAUAAAUUAAAACUUUCAACAACGGAUCUCUUGGUUCUG
RNAcentral lists this unclassified non-coding RNA (211 nucleotides) under Ascomycota sp. RNAcentral describes it as "partial contains small subunit ribosomal RNA, internal transcribed spacer 1, and 5.8S ribosomal RNA". The stretch from base 1 to 46 matches the Rfam family "Eukaryotic small subunit ribosomal RNA", at positions 1786 to 1831 of the family's 1831-position model. Lineage: Eukaryota; Fungi; Ascomycota. The record is from RNAcentral.